AACGAACGCUGGCGGCGUGCUUAACACAUGCAAGUCGAACGGAAAGGCCCUGCUUUUGUGGGGUGCUCGAGUGGCGAACGGGUGAGUAACACGUGAGUAACCUGCCCUUGACUUUGGGAUAACUUCAGGAAGCUGGGGCUAAUACCGGAUAGGAGCUCCUGCUGCAUGGUGGGGGUUGGAAAGUUUCGGCGGUUGGGGAUGGACGGGCGGCUGAUCAGCUUGUUGGUGGGGGAGUGGCUUACCAAGGCUUUGGCGGGUAGGCGGCCGGAGAGGGUGACCGGCGACAUUGGUACUAAGAGACGGCGCAGACGCCUACGGGAGGCAGUAGUGGCGAAUCUUGUACAAUGGGAGCAAGCCUGUUGAAGAAACGCUGGGUGCGGGAUGACGGCCUUCGGGUUGUGAACAGCAGCCGGCUGUUACGAAGCGGGAGUGACGGUAACGGGUAAAGAAGCACCGGCUAACUACGUG
RNAcentral lists this ribosomal RNA (468 nucleotides) under uncultured bacterium. RNAcentral describes it as "partial 16S ribosomal RNA". It matches the Rfam family "Bacterial small subunit ribosomal RNA", at positions 28 to 507 of the family's 1533-position model. The record is from RNAcentral.